ACGUUAGCGGCGGACGGGUGAGUAACACGUGGGUAACCUACCUAUAAGACUGGGAUAACUUCGGGAAACCGGAGCUAAUACCGGAUAAUAUUUCGAACCGCAUGGUUCGAUAGUGAAAGAUGGUUUUGCCAUCACUUAUAGAUGGACCCGCGCCGUAUUAGCUAGUUGGUAAGGUAACGGCUUACCAAGGCGACGAUACGUAGCCGACCUGAGAGGGUGAUCGGCCACACUGGAACUGAGACACGGUCCAGACUCCUACGGGAGGCAGCAGCC
Molecule: ribosomal RNA, 273 nt
Filed under: uncultured Staphylococcus sp.
Lineage: Bacteria; Bacillati; Bacillota; Bacilli; Caryophanales; Staphylococcaceae
Description: partial 16S ribosomal RNA
Rfam family: Bacterial small subunit ribosomal RNA
Source: RNAcentral